GAGGGAAAGGCGAAAAGAACCCCGGCGAGGGGAGUGAAAAAGAACCUGAAACCGUGUACGUACAAGCAGUAGGAGCCUCUUUAUGGGGUGACUGCGUACCUUUUGUAUAAUGGGUCAGCGACUUAUAUUCUGUAGCAAGGUUAACCGUAUAGGGGAGCCGUAGGGAAACCGAGUCUUAACUGGGCGAAUGAGUUGCAGGGUAUAGACCCGAAACCCGGUGAUCUAUCCAUGGGCAGGUUGAAGGUUGGGUAACACUAACUGGAGGACCGAACCGACUAAUGUUGAAAAAUUAGCGGAUGACUUGUGGAUGGGGGUGAAAGGCCAAUCAAACCGGGAGAUAGCUGGUUCUCCCCGAAAGCUAUUUAGGUAGCGCCUCGUGAACUCAUCUUCGGGGGUAGAGCACUGUUUCGACUAGGGGGUCAUCCCGACUUACCAACUCGAUGCAAACUGCGAAUACCGAAGAAUGUUAUCGCGGGAGACACACGGCGGGUGCUAACGUCCGUCGUGAAGAGGGAAACAACCCAGACCGCCAGCUAAGGUCCCAAAGUCAUGGUUAAGUGGGAAACGAAGUGGGAAGGCUCAGACAGCCAGGAUGUUGGCUUAGAAGCAGCCAUCAUUUAAAGAAAGCGUAAUAGCUCACUGGUCGAGUCGGCCCGCGCGGAAGAUGUAACGGGGCUAAACCAUGCACCGAAGCUGCGGCAGCGA
RNAcentral lists this ribosomal RNA (705 nucleotides) under Proteus mirabilis. Its description in RNAcentral is "partial 23S ribosomal RNA". It matches the Rfam family "Bacterial large subunit ribosomal RNA", at positions 505 to 1211 of the family's 2925-position model. The record is from RNAcentral. Lineage: Bacteria; Pseudomonadati; Pseudomonadota; Gammaproteobacteria; Enterobacterales; Morganellaceae.